This 367-nucleotide ribosomal RNA is filed under the name uncultured Rikenellaceae bacterium. RNAcentral's name for it is "bacterial SSU rRNA". It matches the Rfam family "Bacterial small subunit ribosomal RNA", at positions 1014 to 1382 of the family's 1533-position model. The record is from RNAcentral. Lineage: Bacteria; Pseudomonadati; Bacteroidota; Bacteroidia; Bacteroidales; Rikenellaceae.
CGCCAGCGAUGGCCGCUUGCGAGGUGCUGCAUGGUGUCGUCAGCUCGUGCCGUGAGGUGUCGGGUUAAGUCCCAUAACGAGCGCAACCCCUACUGCUAGUUGCCAGCGGGUCAUGCCGGGGACGUCUAGCGGAACUGCCAGCGUAAGCUGCGAGGAAGGUGGGGAUGACGUCAAAUCAGCACGGCCCUUACGUCCAGGGCUACACACGUGUUACAAUGGCCAGUACAGAGGGCAGCCACCCGCGAGGGGGCGCUAAUCCUAAAAGCUGGUCCCAGUUCGGAUCGGAGUCUGCAACCCGACUCCGUGAAGCUGGAUUCGCUAGUAAUCGCGCAUCAGCCACGGCGCGGUGAAUACGUUCCCGGGCCUU